Molecule: ribosomal RNA, 463 nt
Filed under: uncultured bacterium
Lineage: Bacteria
Description: bacterial SSU rRNA
Rfam family: Bacterial small subunit ribosomal RNA
Source: RNAcentral
GACGAACGCUGGCGGCGUGCUUAACACAUGCAAGUCGAGCGGUAAGGCCCUUUCGGGGGUACACGAGCGGCGAACGGGUGAGUAACACGUGGGUGACCUGCCCUCAGCUCUGGGAUAAGCCUGGGAAACCGGGUCUAAUACUGGAUAUGACUCCAUGACGCAUGUUGUGGGGUGGAAAGCCUUGUGCGGCUGAGGAUGGGCCCGCGGCCUAUCAGCUUGUUGGUGGGGUGAUGGCCUACCAAGGCGACGACGGGUAGCCGGCCUGAGAGGGCGACCGGCCACACUGGGACUGAGACACGGCCCAGACUCCUACGGGAGGCAGCAGUGGGGAAUCUUGCGCAAUGGGCGAAAGCCUGACGCAGCGACGCCGCGUGGAGGAUGAAGGUCCUUGGAUUGUAAACUCCUGUCAGCGGGGAAAAGCGAUUCGACCUAAUACGUCGGAGAGUUGAUUGUACCGCAGAGG